UUAAGCGACUAAGCGUACACGGUGGAUGCCCUGGCAGUCAGAGGCGAUGAAGGACGUGCUAAUCUGCGAUAAGCGUCGGUAAGGUGAUAUGAACCGUUAUAACCGGCGAUUUCCGAAUGGGGAAACCCAGUGUGUUUCGACACACUAUCAUUAACUGAAUCCAUAGGUUAAUGAGGCGAACCGGGGGAACUGAAACAUCUAAGUACCCCGAGGAAAAGAAAUCAACCGAGAUUCCCCCAGUAGCGGCGAGCGAACGGGGAGCAGCCCAGAGCCUGAAUCAGUGUGUGUGUUAGUGGAAGCGUCUGGAAAGGCGCGCGAUACAGGGUGACAGCCCCGUACACAAAAAUGCACAUGCUGUGAGCUCGAUGAGUAGGGCGGGACACGUGGUAUCCUGUCUGAAUAUGGGGGGACCAUCCUCCAAGGCUAAAUACUCCUGACUGACCGAUAGUGAACCAGUACCGUGAGGGAAAGGCGAAAAGAACCCCGGCGAGGGGAGUGAAAAAGAACCUGAAACCGUGUACGUACAAGCAGUGGGAGCACGCUUAGGCGUGUGACUGCGUACCUUUUGUAUAAUGGGUCAGCGACUUAUAUUCUGUAGCAAGGUUAACCGAAUAGGGGAGCCGAAGGGAAACCGAGUCUUAACUGGGCGUUAAGUUGCAGGGUAUAGACCCGAAACCCGGUGAUCUAGCCAUGGGCAGGUUGAAGGUUGGGUAACACUAACUGGAGGACCGAACCGACUAAUGUUGAAAAAUUAGCGGAUGACUUGUGGCUGGGGGUGAAAGGCCAAUCAAACCGGGAGAUAGCUGGUUCUCCCCGAAAGCUAUUUAGGUAGCGCCUCGUGAACUCAUCUCCGGGGGUAGAGCACUGUUUCGGCAAGGGGGUCAUCCCGACUUACCAACCCGAUGCAAACUGCGAAUACCGGAGAAUGUUAUCACGGGAGACACACGGCGGGUGCUAACGUCCGUCGUGAAGAGGGAAACAACCCAGACCGCCAGCUAAGGUCCCAAAGUCAUGGUUAAGUGGGAAACGAUGUGGGAAGGCCCAGACAGCCAGGAUGUUGGCUUAGAAGCAGCCAUCAUUUAAAGAAAGCGUAAUAGCUCACUGGUCGAGUCGGCCUGCGCGGAAGAUGUAACGGGGCUAAACCAUGCACCGAAGCUGCGGCAGCGACGCUGAUGCGUUGUUGGGUAGGGGAGCGUUCUGUAAGCCUGCGAAGGUGUACUGUGAGGUAUGCUGGAGGUAUCAGAAGUGCGAAUGCUGACAUAAGUAACGAUAAAGCGGGUGAAAAGCCCGCUCGCCGGAAGACCAAGGGUUCCUGUCCAACGUUAAUCGGGGCAGGGUGAGUCGACCCCUAAGGCGAGGCCGAAAGGCGUAGUCGAUGGGAAACAGGUUAAUAUUCCUGUACUUGGUGUUACUGCGAAGGGGGGACGGAGAAGGCUAUGUUGGCCGGGCGACGGUUGUCCCGGUUUAAGCGUGUAGGCUGGUUUUCCAGGCAAAUCCGGAAAAUCAAGGCUGAGGCGUGAUGACGAGGCACUACGGUGCUGAAGCAACAAAUGCCCUGCUUCCAGGAAAAGCCUCUAAGCAUCAGGUAACAUCAAAUCGUACCCCAAACCGACACAGGUGGUCAGGUAGAGAAUACCAAGGCGCUUGAGAGAACUCGGGUGAAGGAACUAGGCAAAAUGGUGCCGUAACUUCGGGAGAAGGCACGCUGAUAUGUAGGUGAAGUCCCUUGCGGAUGGAGCUGAAAUCAGUCGAAGAUACCAGCUGGCUGCAACUGUUUAUUAAAAACACAGCACUGUGCAAACACGAAAGUGGACGUAUACGGUGUGACGCCUGCCCGGUGCCGGAAGGUUAAUUGAUGGGGUCAGCGCAAGCGAAGCUCUUGAUCGAAGCCCCGGUAAACGGCGGCCGUAACUAUAACGGUCCUAAGGUAGCGAAAUUCCUUGUCGGGUAAGUUCCGACCUGCACGAAUGGCGUAAUGAUGGCCAGGCUGUCUCCACCCGAGACUCAGUGAAAUUGAACUCGCUGUGAAGAUGCAGUGUACCCGCGGCAAGACGGAAAGACCCCGUGAACCUUUACUAUAGCUUGACACUGAACAUUGAGCCUUGAUGUGUAGGAUAGGUGGGAGGCUUGGAAGUGUGGACGCCAGUCUGCAUGGAGCCGACCUUGAAAUACCACCCUUUAAUGUUUGAUGUUCUAACGUUGACCCGUAAUCCGGGUUGCGGACAGUGUCUGGUGGGUAGUUUGACUGGGGCGGUCUCCUCCUAAAGAGUAACGGAGGAGCACGAAGGUUGGCUAAUCCUGGUCGGACAUCAGGAGGUUAGUGCAAUGGCAUAAGCCAGCUUGACUGCGAGCGUGACGGCGCGAGCAGGUGCGAAAGCAGGUCAUAGUGAUCCGGUGGUUCUGAAUGGAAGGGCCAUCGCUCAACGGAUAAAAGGUACUCCGGGGAUAACAGGCUGAUACCGCCCAAGAGUUCAUAUCGACGGCGGUGUUUGGCACCUCGAUGUCGGCUCAUCACAUCCUGGGGCUGAAGUAGGUCCCAAGGGUAUGGCUGUUCGCCAUUUAAAGUGGUACGCGAGCUGGGUUUAGAACGUCGUGAGACAGUUCGGUCCCUAUCUGCCGUGGGCGCUGGAGAACUGAGGGGGGCUGCUCCUAGUACGAGAGGACCGGAGUGGACGCAUCACUGGUGUUCGGGUUGUCAUGCCAAUGGCACUGCCCGGUAGCUAAAUGCGGAAGAGAUAAGUGCUGAAAGCAUCUAAGCACGAAACUUGCCCCGAGAUGAGUUCUCCCUGACCCUUUAAGGGUCCUGAAGGAACGUUGAAGACGACGACGUUGAUAGGCCGGGUGUGUAAGCGCAGCGAUGCGUUGAGCUAACCGGUACUAAUGAACCGUGAGGCUUAACCUU
Molecule: ribosomal RNA, 2902 nt
Filed under: Escherichia coli KTE35
Lineage: Bacteria; Pseudomonadati; Pseudomonadota; Gammaproteobacteria; Enterobacterales; Enterobacteriaceae
Description: bacterial LSU rRNA
Rfam family: Bacterial large subunit ribosomal RNA
Source: RNAcentral